RNA transcript from Olea europaea var. sylvestris, 1254 nucleotides. It is a transcript of the gene named mitochondrial acidic protein MAM33, with no coding region annotated. The record is from RefSeq and is a predicted model, not a curated record. Lineage: Eukaryota; Viridiplantae; Streptophyta; Magnoliopsida; Lamiales; Oleaceae. The transcript has 5 exons.
AAGGAAGAUUUUGUGAAGACUUAUAAGUAACCUAAUCAUUUAAGCAUAGCCAAACACGAACCAAAGCGAAUACAAGUCUCCACUCGAACGACCAUUGAAUCAAUUUUACCGGACCCGAUAUAGACUGUCAAGAAGAAAUUAUGCCAAGAGUAACCCCAAUACUGCGCAGAGCUCAUAAAGCCAUUGAAGAAUUGGAUUUGCUCAAAGUUCUGCAAUCGGAAAUCAACCACGAACUCUCUUCCCAUCGCUUCCAGACAGGUGAAAGUGGUUCCCCAGAAGAUUUUGUUCUGGAAUGGGAUUCUCCAAAGUCCCAAGAUGUGGUUUUACGGAAGAAAUGUGCAUCUGGGGAGGAAGUAGCUAUUUCAGCUUUAUUGGGCGGUGACACGUUCCAAGGAGAUGGUAGCUUUCCCAGGGAAGCUUUGGUAAAAAUAUGUGUUAAGAAGCCUGGGUUGAACUCCCUCUUGCAGUUUGAUUGCGUAGCAUCUAGGAAAGGUGGUAAUGAAUCUGAGUUUGACAUUCAGAAUGCCAAUUACAUGCAUUCGCCAUCAAGCCUGGAUUCUUCAUUCUAUAAAGGUCCCCCAUUCAGUUCCUUGGACCCGGAUUUGCAACAUGAGCUGAAGCAAUAUCUUGCAACCAGGGGAAUUGGUGAAGACUUCAUCAACUUCCUCCUCCUCUAUCUACACAGAAAGGAGCAAGGUCAAUAUGUGAACUGGCUGCAAAAGUUAAAAGAUAUCAUUGGAGAAAACAGUGAGAGACAUCUGCACGGAGCAGAAUUUGUUCCCCAUUCCAAUGUGACGUCAAAGAAAAGUUGAUACUACAAGUACGGGUGUAAAAAGGGGUGGUGCCAUCCAGGUCCAGGUGGCUAGCACGAUUCAGUCCUAGGCUGGGCUGUGGCUGGCCCGCCCCUACAAGUAGUGUUCUGCAUAUCGCCCAAGUAAUAUUAGGUUGUUCCUGUUUGUACAGCCAGGUUCACCUCUUGACAACAAAUUUAUAUGGAUUUUGAUGGACUUACAGGUUAGAGAGCAGAGGAACCAUUUUUUUUUUUUUUUUGCCUCGAAAAACUUAGCUUAUUCAACUCAUAGAACUGGGCUAUUUGGAGAAAGUCGUCAUUAUUCCGAGUGACAUCUUCGCGCACCUUGGCUUCUAGCUCUUGUUUCAGUUUUAUAACAAUUCCAAACAGUGUUUGCGAAACAAAAUGGAUUACACACUCAUGAUAUCUAAAGUUGAAUUUAUAAUUUCGUUUUAAUAUAUCUA